UUUAUAAAAAAUUAUUUUUUUUUAUUUUAAUAAAAAUAAUUUUAUUAAUUUUUUUUUAGUAUUGUUUAAAGAAUAAAUAAUUUUAAUUAUAAAGUAUUAGUAUUUAAAAAGAAAUUUGAAAUAUUUGAAAAUUUAUAAUUUUAAAAAAAAUUUUAAUUAAGUGUAUUUUGUGUUUCAAAGUAAAUUAAAUAAAAAUUUAUUAAAUAAUUUUUUCGAAUUUUGAUGAUUUAAUAAAUUAUAAAAUUUAAUGUGUAAUAAUUAUUUUAUAUAUUUUAUUGGUAACAAAAAAUUAAACGUAUCAAAAUAUAUCUAAUUUUUAAAGAAAUAAUUUUAAAUUAAAAUUAAAUAUUUAUUUUAUUUAUUAAAUAAUAAAAUAAUAUUUUUAUUUUUAUAUAGUAAGGGAUAAGCUUUAUUAUAAAUUAUUAAAAAUUUAUAAAUAAAUAAAAAAUAAUAAACUUAAUAUUAGUUAUUAUUAAAAAAAAUGUCAUAAUUUAUUUUAUUUUAUUUAAAUAUUUAUAAAAUAUUUUAAUUUUUUAUUAAAAAAUAAAAAUUAAUAUAAUAUUUUUAAUUAUAAUGAUUUAAUUAGUAAUUAAUAUUUUAUAAUUUAAAUAAAAAUUUUAAUUAAAAUAUAAGAAUUCAGCAAAUUUUAUAUUCACUUGUUUAUCAAAAACAUGUCUUUUUGUUUUAAUAAAAAGUCUAAUCUGCCCGGUGAAAUAUUUAACGGCUGCGGUAUCUUGACCGUGCAAAGGUAGCAUAAUUAAUUGUCUUUUAAUUAAAGGCUUGUAUGAAUGAUUGAAUGAGAUAUAAACUAUUUUUAUUUUAUAAUAAAUGAAUUUUAAUUUUUAGUAAAAAUGCUAAAAUUCAAAAAUUAGACGAGAAGACCCUAUAAAUCUUUAUUUUUAUUUAAUUUUAAAAUAAAUUGAAAAUUUAAUUUUUAUUUUAAAUAAAAAUUUUAUUGGGGUGAUAGUGAAAUUUAAUAAACUUUUAUUUUUAUUUUAUUAAAUAUAUUUAUUUUAUUGAUCCAUUAUUAAUGAUUAAAAAAUUAAGUUACUUUAGGGAUAACAGCAUAAUUAUUUUAUAAAGUUCUUAUUGAUAAAAUAGAUUGUGACCUCGAUGUUGAAUUAAGAGUAAUUUUAGGUGUAGAAGUUUAAAUUUUAAGUCUGUUCGACUUUUAAAUUCUUACAU
RNAcentral lists this ribosomal RNA (1185 nucleotides) under Culicoides actoni. RNAcentral describes it as "partial large subunit rRNA". The record is from RNAcentral. Lineage: Eukaryota; Metazoa; Arthropoda; Insecta; Diptera; Ceratopogonidae.